Non-coding RNA from Cercophora scortea, 107 nucleotides. NCBI's taxonomy places the organism in Eukaryota, Fungi, Ascomycota, Sordariomycetes, Sordariales, Lasiosphaeriaceae. The record is from the annotation of a GenBank genome assembly.
GCCUGUUUGGUGCAGUGGGUAGCAUGUGGUCCUAAAGUCGCCUUCGCGUAUCAUCGGUUUGCCAAACUUUCUAGAUCAAGACCUUGGUUCGAUCCCAAGAUCAGGCC